Neopelma chrysocephalum (saffron-crested tyrant-manakin) is the source of this 446-nucleotide long non-coding RNA. RefSeq lists it as uncharacterized. Lineage: Eukaryota; Metazoa; Chordata; Aves; Passeriformes; Pipridae. The transcript is spliced from 3 exons. The record is from RefSeq and is a predicted model, not a curated record.
GGCUGUACUGGGAGGAACUGGGGGAACAAUGGGGAGAGACUGGGCUGUACUGGGGGGGGGAUACUGAGUUGAACUGGUGUGAACUGGUGAGAACUGGUACGAACUGGUGCAAAGUGGUGUGAACUGGUGCCGCAGGUUCAUCGAGGACAACGAGGUCGGGACCAUUGAACCCACUGCCCUGAGGGGCCUCCGGGGGCUCCUGUUCCUGAGUUUGGCCAACAAUGGCCUGGAGACGCUGCCUCAGGGGCUCUUCCAGGGGCUGGAGACCCUGAGCCACCUGGACCUGCGGGGGAACCCGUUCCGCUGCGAUUGUCGCCUGAGGUGGCUCCUGUCGUGGUUGGGGACAGUCCCCUCCUCCCCCGAGGCUGCCGGGCGCUGCCGCAGCCCCUCCCCCCACCAAGGGACCCCCCUUGCCCACCUGGACCCCCGGGACUUCCAGUGCCAGC